GGAAAGUAGGGGAUCGCAAGACCUCUCACUAUUGGAGCGGCCGAUGGCUGAUUAGCUAGUUGGUGGGGUAAAGGCCUACCAAGGCGACGAUCAGUAGCUGGUCUGAGAGGACGACCAGCCACACUGGGACUGAGACACGGUCCAGACUCCUACGGGAGGCAGCAGUGGGGAAUUUUGGACAAUGGGGGAAACCCUGAUCCAGCCAUCCCGCGUGAGUGAAGAAGGCCUUCGGGUUGUAAAGCUCUUUCGAAAGUGAAGAAAACUUAUUUCGUAAUAUGUUAUAAGUAUGACGGUAACUUUAAAAGAAGCACCGGCUAACUACGUGCCAGCAGCCGCGGUAAUACGUAGGGUGCGAGCGUUAAUCGGAAUUACUGGGCGUAAAGCGUGCGCAGGCGGUUUUGUAAGUCAGAUGUGAAAUCCCCGAGCUUAACUUGGGAACUGCGUUUGAAACUACAAAGCUAGA
RNAcentral lists this ribosomal RNA (463 nucleotides) under uncultured Nitrosomonadales bacterium. RNAcentral describes it as "bacterial SSU rRNA". It matches the Rfam family "Bacterial small subunit ribosomal RNA", at positions 187 to 645 of the family's 1533-position model. Lineage: Bacteria; Pseudomonadati; Pseudomonadota; Betaproteobacteria; Nitrosomonadales. The record is from RNAcentral.